This is a non-coding RNA of Cordylochernes scorpioides, 80 nucleotides long. The record is from the annotation of a GenBank genome assembly. Lineage: Eukaryota; Metazoa; Arthropoda; Arachnida; Pseudoscorpiones; Chernetidae.
AAGCAUUCGCGCCAAUAUGCCCUUCAUCAGGACACAUAUAAGUGUCAAUCCAGUUGAAGAGCAUAUUGGCCUGGAAGCUU